GAACGCUUGGUGCAGUGGUAGCAUAUCUGAUUCCAGUACGUAACUUAGCAAUUAGUUACGGAAAUCCAGAUGGUCACUGGUUCAAUCCCAGUAGCGUUCA
Non-coding RNA from Hyaloscypha hepaticicola, 100 nucleotides. NCBI's taxonomy places the organism in Eukaryota, Fungi, Ascomycota, Leotiomycetes, Helotiales, Hyaloscyphaceae. The record is from the annotation of a GenBank genome assembly.